Molecule: long non-coding RNA, 850 nt
Filed under: Panax ginseng (ginseng)
Lineage: Eukaryota; Viridiplantae; Streptophyta; Magnoliopsida; Apiales; Araliaceae
Description: long non-coding RNA (PGIN_LNC013220)
Source: RNAcentral
CUUCUUGUCCGAAGACAACACUUCUUGUCUAAAGACAAUACUUCUUGUCCGAAGACAACACUUCUUGUCCGAAGACAAUACUUCUUGUCCGAAGACAACACUUCUUGUUUCAUGGCCUCAAACGCCCAAACCCAAUUAUUACGUUACUCUACGAUCAACAAUAUUACUCUACGGUCGACAAUCAGCCAUUACUCUACGAUCAACAAUCUUACUCUACGGUCGUAGUCGGUCUGGCUAUCACUCUACGAUCAACAAUAUUACUCUACGGUCGACAAUCAGCCAUUACUCUACGAUCAACAAUCUUACUCUACGAUCGUAGUCAGUCUGGCUAUCACUCUACGAUCAACAGUCUUACUCUACGGUCGUAGUCGGUCUGGCUAUCACUCUACGAUCAACAAUCUUACUCUACGGUCGUAGUCGGUCUGGCUAUCACUCUACGAUCAACAAUCUUACUCUACGGUCGUGGUCAUCUACAUGGUGGACCUUUCCAGGAAUCGUAGAGUAGUCCAGACACUUACAGAUGUUAAGUGAGCAAUCGUAGUGUUUUCCAAAAGGCCAGCACCAAAAUGACAUGACACUAUGAUUUGGAUAGUAGAGUGUCAUCUGACUUAUGUCAGAAGCAUCAAGUCCUAACUUUUAAUUCUAACAAUUUUUUUUAGUAACGUGUUCAUGCAUGAAAGUGAACUUCCUAACCCCUUAUAACAUGCUAGUUCAUCAUACUUGACCUAUUAAUUAGGAAAAACCAAGGAUCAAACCAGACUCAAGUUAAGAACGAAGUAGAAAUUUUUACCUUCUCAACCUUGAUAUCUCACACACUGAUUUGGCUUCGGAAUGCUUAGCGACUAAGAAU